Molecule: long non-coding RNA, 347 nt
Filed under: Ananas comosus (pineapple)
Lineage: Eukaryota; Viridiplantae; Streptophyta; Magnoliopsida; Poales; Bromeliaceae
Description: long non-coding RNA (ACOM_LNC016721)
Source: RNAcentral
AACUGUAGCAACUCGACCGAAUAGGUCAUAAGUAUAGGAUAUGAAACUCGACCAAUCAUGUCACAAGUAUAGGAUAUGAAACUCGACCAAUCAUGUCACAAGUAUAGGAUAUGAACUCGACCAAUCAUGUCACAAGUAUAGGAUAUGAACUCGACCAAUCAUGUCACAGAUAUCAUAUGCUGAUGAAAUCUACUCUACUCCUACACAAGGUACUAAACAUGGAAACAACCGAGUAGAGUAAAUAUGAAAAUAAUAUGGGUGCAAGGCUCAAUAUGUAUAUGCACACAAAUAAUAGUAAGAGGGCAAGGGUAAGAAACCAUCACCGAACGUGCACCACUGUACCGACG